Ficedula albicollis (Collared flycatcher) is the source of this 1171-nucleotide long non-coding RNA. The record is from Ensembl. NCBI's taxonomy places the organism in Eukaryota, Metazoa, Chordata, Aves, Passeriformes, Muscicapidae.
CCCCCCCCCCCCCCCCCCCCCCCCCCCCCCCCCCCCCCCCCCCCCCCCCCCCCCCCCCCCCCCCCCCCCCCCCCCCCCCCCCCCCCCCCCCCCCCCCCCCCCCCCCCCCGUGCCCCCCUCCCACCCCGCUGGAGGCGUUUCCCUGGCACCAGAUGACCCCUGAGCCCCGGUCCCUGUCCUCACCCCCCAUCCCCAUCCCGGUGGGAGGGGUGCUCCUGCCGAGGAGGAGGAGGAGGAGGCACGAGGGGGGAGGAAGAGGAGGCCGGGCAGAGUCCCGAGGCCUUGCUUUAUGCCAGAGUAAUAUAUUUGUGUCUUGACAAUUCAGGAAGGGCUACAAAGUGUUUUUUUUGUUCCGUAGGUGGGAGUUAAACAAUUUCACUGUUGCUUUGGGAUAAGUGAAAAUUUCCUCUCAAUGACUUUUAAGUGCCUGCAUUUCCCUGGGGGCGGGGGGGACGCGCUCGGCCCCGCAGCCGGGGCUGCUGCCUGGGCACCCCAAUUCGUGGGCACCCCGAUUUGAGGGCACCCUGAUUUUGUGGGCACCCUGAUUUCACAGGCACCCCGAUUUUGGGAAAACCCUGAUUCGUGGGCACCCCGAUUCAUGGGCACCCCAAUUUGUGGGCACCCCAGUUCGUGGGCACCCUGAUUUCAUGGGCACCCUGAUUCUGGGAAAACCCUGAUUCGUGUGCACCCCAAUUCUGGGGGAACCCCAAUUCGUGGGCACCCCGAUUUUGUGGGAACCCCAGUUCAUGGGCACCCCAACUCUGGGGACACCCUGAUUCUGGGGGCACCCCAGUUCGUGGGCACCCCAAUUCUGGGGCACCCCAGUUUUGGGGCACCCCAGUUUGUGGGCACCCCAAUUCUGGGGCACCCCAGUUUUGGGGCACCCCUCUGUCCCGGGAGCGGGGCUGGGGCGUCGGGGCCGGAGCUGCUUGUGGUGGCAGAGACCUGUGGAUGCUCCUGGAGAAGGGGUUGGGGAUCCCCCAACGGUUGACACAUCUGCCAACUCUUGAUUUAGUUUGUUUGUUUGUUUGUUUUGUGGUUUUUUGUUUUGUUUUGUUUUUUUUUUUGUUUUUGUUUUUUCGUCAUUUCAUAAAACUUUUCAAUCCAAUAAAGCAUGUAGUCUAUUUUACGAGCUGCUGGCUGCUGCUCUCUUCUUCCAGCCCUUCCCGGG